RNAcentral lists this ribosomal RNA (612 nucleotides) under Maladera himalayica ssp. BMNH 678407. Its description in RNAcentral is "partial 16S large subunit ribosomal RNA". It matches the Rfam family "Bacterial large subunit ribosomal RNA", at positions 1844 to 2732 of the family's 2925-position model. The record is from RNAcentral. Lineage: Eukaryota; Metazoa; Arthropoda; Insecta; Coleoptera; Scarabaeidae.
UUUAAAGUCUAAUCUGCCCUAUGAGGAGUUAAAUGGCCGCGGUACUCUGACCGUGCAAAGGUAGCAUAAUAAUUAGUUUUUUAAUUGAAAGCUGGAAUGAACGAUUGGACGAGAAAAUAACUGUCUCAAUUUAAUUUUUUUUAGAAUUUUAUUUUUAAGUAAGAAAGCUUAAAUUUAAUUAAAAGACGAGAAGACCCUAUAGAGUUUUAUAUUUAGUUUAUUAUUAGUUUUUAAGUAUUAUUUUAUUUGUAUUAGAUUAAAUAUUUUGUUGGGGCGAUAGAGAAAUAUUAUUAACUUUUUUUAGAUUUUACCAUUAAUUUAUGAUUAAAUGAUCCAUAUUUUAUGAUUAGAAGAAUUAGUUACCUUAGGGAUAACAGCGUAAUCUUUUUUUAGAGUUCUUAUCGAAAGAAAGGAUUGCGACCUCGAUGUUGGAUUAAAAUAAAUGUUUGGUGUAGAAGCUAAAUGAUUAGGUCUGUUCGACCUUUAAAAUUUUACAUGAUCUGAGUUUAAACCGGCGUAAGCCAGGUUGGUUUCUAUCUUUAAUUUAUUUUAAUAUUUUAGUACGAAAGGACCAAAUAUUGAUAAUAAUUAUUUUAUUUUGAAUAAUAUUAG